UGGGAAUUUGACAAUGGGCGAAAGCCUGAUCCAGCAAUGCCGCGUGUGUGAAGAAGGCCUUCGGGUUGUAAAGCACUUUUGUCCGGAAAGAAAUCCUUGGCUCUAAUACAGUCGGGGGAUGACGGUACCGGAAGAAUAAGCACCGGCUAACUACGUGCCAGCAGCCGCGGUAAUACGUAGGGUGCAAGCGUUAAUCGGAAUUACUGGGCGUAAAGCGUGCGCAGGCGGUUUGCUAAGACCGAUGUGAAAUCCCCGGGCUCAACCUGGGAACUGCAUUGGUGACUGGCAGGCUAGAGUAUGGCAGAGGGGGGUAGAAUUCCACGUGUAGCAGUGAAAUGCGUAGAGAUGUGGAGGAAUACCGAUGGCGAAGGCAGCCCCCUGGGCCAAGUACUGACGCUCAUGCACGAAAGCGUGGGGAGCAAACNGGAUUAAUACCCUGGUAGUCCACGCCCUAAANGAUGUCAACUAGUUGUUGGGGAUUCAUUUUCCUUAGUAACGUAGCUAACGCGUGAAGUUGACCGCCUGGGGAGUACGGUCGCAAGAUUAAAACUUAAAGAAUUGAC
Molecule: ribosomal RNA, 563 nt
Filed under: uncultured bacterium
Lineage: Bacteria
Description: partial 16S ribosomal RNA
Rfam family: Bacterial small subunit ribosomal RNA
Source: RNAcentral